GGCCAGACUCCUACGGGAGGCAGCAGUGGGGGAUAUUGCACAAUGGGGGAAACCCUGAUGCAGCGACGCCGCGUGGGUGAAGAAGCGCCUCGGCGCGUAAAGCCCUGUCAGCAGGGAAGAAAAUGACGGUACCUGAAGAAGAAGCCCCGGCUAACUACGUGCCAGCAGCCGCGGUAAUACGUAGGGGGCAAGCGUUAUCCGGAUUUACUGGGUGUAAAGGGGGCGCAGACGGCGAUGCAAGCCAGGAGUGAAAGGCCGGGGCCCAACCCCGGGACUGCAUUGGAAACUGCGAGGCUGGAGUGUCGGAGAGGCAGGCGGAAUUCCUAGUGUAGCGGUGAAAUGCGUAGAUAUUAGGAGGAACACCAGUGGCGAAGGCGGCCUGCUGGACGAUGACUGACGCUGAGGCUCGAAAGCGUGGGUAGCAAACAGGAUUAGAUACCCUAGUA
RNAcentral lists this ribosomal RNA (446 nucleotides) under uncultured bacterium. Its description in RNAcentral is "bacterial SSU rRNA". It matches the Rfam family "Bacterial small subunit ribosomal RNA", at positions 329 to 792 of the family's 1533-position model. The record is from RNAcentral.